Oryctolagus cuniculus (rabbit) is the source of this 6039-nucleotide non-coding RNA. The record is from RefSeq and is a predicted model, not a curated record. Lineage: Eukaryota; Metazoa; Chordata; Mammalia; Lagomorpha; Leporidae.
CAGCCCACGUCUGAAAUGCCUCGGUCCUCCAGCCCCGGCUCCCCGGAGGAGGCAGGGCCUGGGAGGAAGGGGGAGGGAGCGAGGGAGGGAGGGAGGGAGCGAGCAAGCGAGCGGGCGGGCGAGCCAGCCCGGCCGCGAAGGCGGAGAGCGCUCCCGGGCGCCGGGCAGGGGCGCUCUCCGGCCGCCGCGGCCCGGUCUCUUCUCCGGCCCUCGCUCUUUCCCCCUCCCCCGGCCCCGGGCGAGCCGAGCGGGCAGCCGAGCCUCCCCGCGAGCUGCCAUUCGGCCGCUGCGCGCAACAAAAGCCGGCGGCAGCAGAGACUCCGGGCGUGCGCGCUCUGCGGCCCCACGUGGAGCCAAGCUCCGCCUGGCCGCCGCCGAGCGAGUGCCGAGCCCUGGAGUCUCGGCGCCCGGCUUCCUUGCGCCCGAGUCCGGGGACAGACGAGCACUGAGAUGUGGCCAGAUCUCGGCACGCGCGCAUGGGGGCUCCCGUCUCCCCCAGGCCUCACCCGCAGCCAUGUGCGGAGGACCCCCACCCGGGGCAUUUGUACCAGAACACGCGUCCCCCAAAACACGUACACGCGAACACGUACACAGCCUGCGUGGCUGGCCCUGUCUCUGCGCGCACUCCGGGAGACAGACUCUCGUUUGGUUUUUUUGGAAAUGCAUUUGCUAGCCAUUUUGCACGCGAGUCCCGUGUUGUGUUCCACGGGGGGGGGGGGGGCAGGCAGGGGAGCGGGGUGCAGAGGGAGUGUGCAGAGCCGCGCAGUGAGCGCCGAGACUGGGCGGAUUCUGGGCCUGCCCCCUCCAGGCCGCUGCCCCCGGCGCUGCCGGCGAGGGGUGGGCGAGUUGCCUGGGGGGAGGUGCGCCAGUCUAGUAUCUUCCCCAGGCAUCGCGCUUAUCUCUCGAUGCCGCGGUUCUUUCUCCACCCGGGCGGGCACUUAUCUCGCCUGAAGUCCGGGGGCGAAUUUGUAAAACAAACCGUGAAUCGCCCCCACCCCGGAGGCGAGGAGCCUGGUUCGAGUUCGGGCAGGGUGGGGGCCUAGGCGGAGGAUCCGACCUGGCGCCCAGGUAGUCACUUUGUGAGUCUGCAGCAGCUCCCCUGCCGGGGUCGCUGGAUUCCCCCACCCAACCCCGCCCCACCCCAGAGUGCUGCCUCCUAGGGGGCGGGGCAGGUCGCGAGUUGGGCGACCCUACUCAGAUGGAGGGACAUCCUGGGGACAGUGUUCUUUUACCCUUCCUGUGAUGAGAGAAGGGGCCUGGGGGUUCGGAACACGCCCUGGGCCGGGAGCUCCAGAGCCGAGCAGAGCAGUCCUCGGUGACAUUUUGCCCUGUGUAGCCCCCGAACCCCUAGCCCCCGGAGCCCAAGUGGCAGCGAGCAGAGGCUGAAAAUGUGGACCAACCGCUCCAAGAUAGGACAGGCACCUUCCCGGCGACAAGCGUCCCCAGCCUCGCAUUUUUGCCGCACAUGGUUAAGAGCGGAGAAUUCCCCGCAGUCACCGGAGGGUUCUGCGAACUCCGUCUGGCUCGCCAUCUCGCUCCUUUCUUUCCCUUUCGUUCUGUCCUCUCUGGUGGUGACAAAAGAGAGUAAGAGGGAGAGGAGAGAGCGCGCGCGGCCCAGCGCGCCGGCUCCUAACGCCCCCCUGGCGCCCCAUCGCACAGGGUGCCAGAAGCCAGGCCUUGUCCCCCUCCCUACGCAGAACACCGAGGUCAUCGCAGGGCUUUCCGAGGCAGAAAGCACCCCCUCCCCCCAACAGAGCUUGGGCCUGGGACGGCUUCGCUGCGCUUCCAAGGGCGCCCCCGCAGUCCCCGCUACCUGGUGCUGCGGGCGCUGGCUAGCCCACCCGCUCGGCGCGCGCGUGGAGCGCAGGCAGAGUAGCUGCAGCCACAGGGCACCCACUCCCCUCCUCACCCGCUCGGCUCCCCGAGCGGCCCCAUCGCAGCAGAGCGGGUCCUGGGCACUCCGGCCUGCCUCGCCUGGGACCUGGGAGGGGUGCCUGCUGAUUUACCUUGUAAAUAUCUUCACCUAGCUUUGGGCUGCACCCUCGAUUGCCUGUUUUUGCCCAGGUACCUCGAACUUAACCCUGGGGUCACCCCAGAGCAACCACGCCUGACCCCCCCCUCCACUGCAGCAUAGGAGGGAGGGUGGAGAAGAGGGAAAUUUGCGGGGUUCUGAAUCGAAAACGAGGACAUCUUGCUAAUGGUCUGCAAACUUCCGCCAAUUACGACUGACCUCCCAGACUGGGCCCCAGGAGGCUCCUAUUAUGCCGGGCGUCCGCCGUAACUCUGGGAUCAAAAGCGCGAAGGUGCGAACUCCUCUUGUCUCUGCGCGCCCGCCGGCCCCCCUCCCGGUGGGCGAUAAACCCACUCUGGCGCCGGCCGUGCGCUGGGUGAUUAAUUUGCGAACAAACAAAAGCGGCCUGGUGACCACUGCCUUCGGGUUAAACAUUGGCCAGCGCGCUCCGGAGACUUGUGCCAGGCCUGGCCUUCGGGACAGCCCAGGACACCGGCUAGUGCGGCCCCGGCUUCGGGCUGCAGCCGCAGGCUCCGCCUGGACUUUUCUUUGCUUCAAACCCUUGCGUCUUCUCUCCUCCUGCCUCACGUUCCACAAACACCGGGAGGGGGACCAAAUCUUGGGUCCACAAAGGACCUGCAGAAAGUUUGAUGUCUCCAAAAUAUUCCCCUACUUUUUCCAAAAAGAACUCCACACUGCAUUGUAGGCCUGGGAUUUUUUUUUUUUUUUAAGAAAAAAAAAAACACCUCUCUCCAUAUAGGGUAAUGCUUGCAGCCGGCUGAAGGUAAAGGAAUAGCAUUGCACGGGUAGGCGAGUGUUAAGGGCGUGGGCUCAAGAGCCUGAAAUUCAAGGUCGCGCGUGGGAAAAAGGUAGCACAGGCACAGCCAAAUCAAGUGUCUUCAGCCAGGCCAGGGAUGAGAGCAGGCAAGUUCAACGCCGGGGACACCCUGCGGGAUCCCUCUGUUCCCCUGGGGCGCCACCAGCCUCACCGAGCCCUUUGUGACCGAAUGGUGUUUAUCUGAAGUUUACAAAAAAAAAGGGAGAGGAGGGGGAAAGGCUGGUGGGUAGGCGGGGUCGUUUACUUUGGCAAGUUUGCUGUAAAUAUUCGCGUCAGUGCGUGUGAGGUCUGGCCAGGGCCCGGGACACACUCGUUCCCUCUUCAACUCUCACCCCGGUUCACUGCCGAGUGCCUUUUUGGUGUCGCUAGACUGGGAGUUCUGUUGACACAUGGACCCGUGUGUUCCCCCUGGGGUCUGAGGCCUAACUGAGAACUGUGCUGUGUGGGGGUCGGCCAAUGUACAGACUCCCACCAGGGAGGCCGCCAUUGCCCCCUCCCAAUCCCCGCACCCCAUCACAACUCUUUAGGUAUGGAUAUGUUUUCAAAACUGACUCAUUGCUUGCUGUGUGGCUCUUUCCGGCCAGAGUUUCCCCACUGGGGACUGGCUUUUUUUUUUUUUUAACCCCGGGGGAGCAUAGGGGGGAACCAGUCCCUAGUUUCCUAUUCAAAGCUCCUCCUGCAAAACAUCAGGAGCACCCCAAAACCCACAGGCAUGCAUGAACGCCCCCAGACUACCCCCAAACACCGACUGUCCCACCUGCACAACCCCCUGGGCUACCUCCAGCCCUGACUUUCUCACUCAGUGCAGAACUUCCGCACACCCCGGAGCCUCUGGCUGCGCCCCACCUCUCCACCCGGUGCCCCUUGGUCCAGUUCAAGUCCCCCCACAUCUCCUCCACCCUGGGCAGGUACAAAGCUCUGGGCUGCACCGCUCGGGGCAGGACCUCCACCUCUCUUUCUGUUUCUGCUUCUUCUGUCUUCCCCCUUUUCUUUCUGUCUCACCACCUCUCUGUCCAUCUCCCCUUGAGAUUCUUUGAUCACGUGGUCUUUCUUACCCCUUCCUUCUCCUCCAUCCCCCCCACCCCGCCUUGUCCACCUUAUGCCCCAGCCUUUAACUCCUCUUGCUCUUUUUUAAUUUGCUGUCUCCUCUUCUCCUCCUCUCUAUUUCCUUGGUUCUCUCAGAAUUUGCUUCUAUCUUUCUAACUCAGGGCCCCUGCAGUUCCCCCGCCUUGGGCCUCCCCCCAUCUUUCCCAGUCACAACAGACUGGAGGGCCUUCUUCCUGGGGUUCAAGCAGAGUGGGACCCCUCGCUUCCUAGGCUGGGACGAGAUGACGUUAUCUUGGGAGCAAGAAAAAAGUUGGGCCCAUCUGUCUAGGUGGGAAGCUUCGCUGUCUCCUGUUGGCAUCUCCAAAGCCAAGCUUUUGCCCAGGGUGGUUUGGCCCCCUUGGGGCUCCCUAACCUCUGAGAUCCCACCCCCACCCCCCUCCUCAUCUCCUGGGCAGCAGCCCAGGGUAAAAGGCUGCAAAUCGGGCUGCAGAGCCCAACUCCCAGCUUCUGCCUGGCUCCAGCAGCACGAGCUUUCUAGCCAUGCAUAUUUCUCCAUCCCCUGACAUCCUUCUAAAUUAUUGAUCAGAGCAAUUCAGUGCAGGAGUCUGCAGUGUGUGUGCAGGGGGUGGGGGUCGUCCAAGUUGCCGAGCUGGGGAGAAGUAGUAUUUUUAGUAUGAGGCUCACUUUGGCGCCAGUUGGUUUAUGCUGUUUCUAGAGCAUCAUUCAUUACACACUUAAUCCAUGCUUAUCGUACCUCCUUUUAAUGUAAAUAUGUUUUUGGCAGAGGCGAAAUGAAAAGAUCUCACUGUCCGUAUUAUUCUUGUUAGCACCUAGCUUUCACCCUGCAAAACGGCAAAUUUGUACACAGCCAGUGAUUUAGAUAAGUUGGAGGGGAAAUAAAGGAGGUAAGAAUGAAGUGUGUGUGUGUGUGUGUGUGAGCCUGGGGAUGGUGCUUUUUAUACAUCCGUGAAGGUUUUUUUCCUCUCCCUCUCUCAGGAAAAGGAACUAAUUGUGGUUUCCUAAUUUCUAACCCAAUCUACAUCUUCAAUGCUCUCUUUGUGUGUGUGUGUGUGUUUUACCCAAUUAUGAAAAAAAAGAUAAUGCAAUGGACAUUACUUAGUCUAGCAGAAAUGAAUUCCCAAGGCAGGGGCUGGAAAUUUUUCCCUCUUCACUUAUCGGACCCAGAAUCAGCGAGAUGCAGGCCUGGAGCACUUUGAAGACCCCUCACCCCUCUUUCUUCCAUAUCCUCUUUUCCACUAUUCAUUCAAGACAGGACAAAUCCGGGGUGGAUGGCAACGACCUGUGGCCGGGGGUACCAAAAAUGAAAGAGACACGGAGGACCCUUGGCUUCAAAGUGGCGGAGAAGCGACCGCGAGGAGGUAGCUUCCCGGGAGGCGCGGGCGGGGAGCUGGGGUCGCGGCAGCGCGCUCGGCUCCCGGCUGGGGCUUCGUUCGGUUGAUCGAUGAAGGCGUCAGGCCGGCCCACCAUAAAGUCAAUGCAAUCGAUGCGGACGUCCACGACCGCUCGAAACAGAGACCUCUCCCCGUUGCUGCGCGCUCGCCGAGUUCCACGCAACAGGUCUCAGGACUCAAGGUUUCUCGUUCUAGCCAGUCGUUUCCGAACUAGAGGCAGCUGGGGGUGGGGUGGGGGGUGGGCAGGAAGAAGCCUCUGGGCCCACCCGGCGGGGAGAGCGCCCCCUCCUCCUGCGCUCCCCAGAGCCCCUGGCCGCGCCAGCUUCCACCCUCCCGGGGUGAUUUCGUUCAGGACUUGGAAUCCGACACCCGCAACGUCGCGCGCCGACUCGCUCUCCUGAGCUCCAGGUUCCACACCUGCGAAAUGGGUUUGCUACACCGUGCGGUUUAUUGGAGGCGACGUUUGGGAGAUCCUCACGAGAAGGACCGCGUUUUUCUACACUCGUUAAAUGCAGCAAUCAGAGCGGGUGGGCUCCCCAUUUCCUGGACAGGGAAACAGAGUCACGGGGCGGGGAGUCGUACCGCUCCUCUCCGAGGGAGCUGGGGAUCAACCAGGGCCUGCCCAGCUCUUUGUCUUGGCAGGAGGCGCGCACAGUGGGGAUUCCUGUUCUGCACUGCCCUUUUGGGGAAGAAAUUCCAAUAAACCCUCCAUCGGGCGGUCUUGCCCACUA